Molecule: ribosomal RNA, 494 nt
Filed under: uncultured bacterium
Lineage: Bacteria
Description: partial 16S ribosomal RNA
Rfam family: Bacterial small subunit ribosomal RNA
Source: RNAcentral
GACGAACGCUGGCGGCGUGCUUAACACAUGCAAGUCGAACGGUGAAGCGCCUUCCUUUUUGGUGGGUGUGGAUGAGUGGCGAACGGGUGAGUAACACGUGAGUAACCUGCCCCCUUCUUCUGGAUAACCGCAUGAAAGUGUGGCUAAUACGGGAUAUUCUGUGUCUGUCGCAUGAUGGGUCUGGGAAAGAUAUUGUUUCGGUGGGGGAUGGGCUCGCGGCCUAUCAGCUUGUUGGUGGGGGGAUGGCCUACCAAGGCGGUGACGGGUAGCCGGCCUGAGAGGGUGGACGGUCAUACUGGGAAGGAGACACGGCCCAGACUCCGACGGGAGGCAGCAGUGGGGAAUAUUGCACAAUGGGCGCAAGCCUGAUGCAGCGACGCCGCGUGAGGGAUGGAGGCCUUCGGGUUGUGAACCUCUUUCGCCAGUGAAGCAGGCCUGCCUCGUUUGUGGGUGGGUUGACGGUAGCUGGAUAAGAAGCGCCGGCUAACUACGUG